RNAcentral lists this ribosomal RNA (254 nucleotides) under uncultured bacterium. RNAcentral describes it as "partial 16S ribosomal RNA". It matches the Rfam family "Bacterial small subunit ribosomal RNA", at positions 524 to 776 of the family's 1533-position model. The record is from RNAcentral.
UACGGGGGGAGCAAGCGUUGUUCGGAUUUACUGGGCGUAAAGGGCGCGUAGGCGGCCACUGCAAGUCGGUUGUGAAAUCUCCGGGCUUAACCCGGAAAGGUCAAUCGAUACUGCAGGGCUAGAGUGCAGAAGGGGCAACUGGAAUUCUCGGUGUAGCGGUGAAAUGCGUAGAUAUCGGGAGGAACACCAGUGGCGAAGGCGGCUUUCUGGCCCGUUCUUGACGCUGAGGCGCGAAAGCUAGGGUAGCAAACGGG